GAUGAACGCUGGCGGCGUGCCUAAUACAUGCAAGUCGAGCGAACGGACGAGAAGCUUGCUUCUCUGAUGUUAGCGGCGGACGGGUGAGUAACACGUGGAUAACCUACCUAUAAGACUGGGAUAACUUCGGGAAACCGGAGCUAAUACCGGAUAAUAUUUUGAACCGCAUGGUUCAAAAGUGAAAGACGGUCUUGCUGUCACUUAUAGAUGGAUCCGCGCUGCAUUAGCUAGUUGGUAAGGUAACGGCUUACCAAGGCAACGAUGCAUAGCCGACCUGAGGGGGUGAUCGGCCACACUGGAACUGAGACACGGUCCAGACUCCUACGGGAGGCAGCAGUAGGGAAUCGUCCGCAAUGGGCGAAAGCCUGACGGAGCAACGCCGCGUGAGUGAUGAAGGUCUUCGGAUCGUAAAACUCUGUUAUUAGGGAAGAACAUAUGUGUAAGUAACUGUGCACAUCUUGACGGUACCUAAUCAGAAAGCCACGGCUAACUACGUG
RNAcentral lists this ribosomal RNA (497 nucleotides) under uncultured bacterium. RNAcentral's name for it is "partial 16S ribosomal RNA". It matches the Rfam family "Bacterial small subunit ribosomal RNA", at positions 28 to 507 of the family's 1533-position model. The record is from RNAcentral.